Non-coding RNA from Vicia faba (fava bean), 207 nucleotides. Lineage: Eukaryota; Viridiplantae; Streptophyta; Magnoliopsida; Fabales; Fabaceae. The record is from the annotation of a GenBank genome assembly.
UCAUUCUUUCGAAGAGUUGAAGAAGGAAGCAGAGAGAAGCUGGUGAUUCUUCUGAAAAUGAUUGACAAUGAAUCCCUUUCUGCGGGGAUGAUGAUGAAGUGUUGGGAAUAUUUGCAGAGAAUUCCUAGAGAGGAUAAAGAUGUUGUGAUGGUUGUUGAUUGAAGGUUGACGAUGAAGAAGGAAAGUGAAGAUUGAAGGUGGAGGUUG